Non-coding RNA from Ictidomys tridecemlineatus (thirteen-lined ground squirrel), 72 nucleotides. NCBI's taxonomy places the organism in Eukaryota, Metazoa, Chordata, Mammalia, Rodentia, Sciuridae. The record is from Rfam.
GGGGUUGUGGCUCAGAGGUAGAGCGGUCACCUAGCACGUGUGAAGCACUGGGUUCGAUCCUCAGUAGCACCA